This is a non-coding RNA of Podarcis lilfordi (Lilford's wall lizard), 76 nucleotides long. The record is from the annotation of a GenBank genome assembly. Lineage: Eukaryota; Metazoa; Chordata; Lepidosauria; Squamata; Lacertidae.
UGGAUAGCUCAGCUGGUAAAGCAUGGGGCUCUUAAUCUCAGGGUCGUGGGUUCAAGCCCCACAUGGGGCAGAAAAA